AGGUAGAACGGAAAUUGCAACAACAAAAUUCUAAUUCUAAUAGAAUACUAAGUAAACUCUAAUUAGACCAUAAUAAUUCUAAGCAAGCUUUAAGCAAAUUCAAAGAAACUGCAAAGAAAUUUCAAAGAAAUAAUAAAAAAUCUUAAAGAAAUAUUAAAAUGAUUACAAAUAUCUCUCAAAUACAUGUCAAUUCAAUUUUAAUUUAAUUCUAGUUAAAAUCCUAUUGGACUUCAUUCAAACUUUAGGCCAAAACUAAAUAAAUCUUAAAUCCUAAAAAAAUCCUAAUAAAAUCCUAAACCCUAAAUCAAACCCUAAAUCCUAAACCAAAUCCUAAACCAAAUUCUAUCCAAAUCUUAAAUCAAAUCCUAACCAAAUCCUAAACCCUAAAUCAAACCCUAACCAAACUCUAAAUCUUAAAUCAAAUCCUAAAUCCUAAACCAAAUCCUAAACAAAUCUUAAACCAAAUCCCAAUGAAAUCCUAAAAUAAAACCUAAACCCUAAAUAAAACCCUAACCAAACUCUAAAUCCUAAA
RNAcentral lists this long non-coding RNA (532 nucleotides) under Physcomitrium patens. RNAcentral describes it as "long non-coding RNA (PPAT_LNC004507)". Lineage: Eukaryota; Viridiplantae; Streptophyta; Bryopsida; Funariales; Funariaceae. The record is from RNAcentral.